Molecule: ribosomal RNA, 253 nt
Filed under: uncultured prokaryote
Description: partial 16S ribosomal RNA
Rfam family: Bacterial small subunit ribosomal RNA
Source: RNAcentral
ACGAAGGGUGCAAGCGUUACUCGAAAUUACUGGGCGUAAAGCGUGCGUAGGUGGUUCGUUAAGUCUGAUGUGAAAGCCCCGGGCUCAACCUGGGAACGGCAUUGGAAACUGGCGACCUAGAGUGCGGUAGAGGGUGGCGGAAUUCCCGGUGUAGCAGUGAAAUGCGUAGAUAUCAGGAGGAACACCGAUAGCGAAGGCAGCUCGCUGGGACGGUACUGACGCUGAGGCGCGAAAGCGUGGGAAGCAAACAGGA